UCCUUAGAUGUUCUGGGCCGCACGCGCGCUACACUGACGAAUGCAACGAGCUUAUAACCUUGGCCGAAAGGUCUGGGUAAUCUCCAAAUUUCGUCGUGAUGGGGAUAGAUUAUUGCAAUUAUUAAUCUUCAACGAGGAAUGCCUAGUAAGCGCAAGUCAUCAGCUUGCGUUGAUUACGUCCCUGCCCUUUGUACACACCGCCCGUCGCUCCUACCGAUUGAAUGGUCCGGUGAAGCGUUCGGACCGUGGCCUUUGGACGGUUCGCCGUCUGUUGGCUGCGGGAAGUUCGUUAAACCUUNUNAUUUAGNGGAAGGAGAANUCGUANCA
RNAcentral lists this ribosomal RNA (327 nucleotides) under uncultured eukaryote. RNAcentral's name for it is "partial 18S ribosomal RNA". It matches the Rfam family "Eukaryotic small subunit ribosomal RNA", at positions 1470 to 1796 of the family's 1831-position model. The record is from RNAcentral.